CCCUUAGAUGUCCUGGGCUGCACGCGCGCUACACUGAUGUGUCCAGUAAGCACCUAACCUCUUCCGAAAGGAACGGGUAACCUUUGCAAAGCACAUCGUGCUGGGGAUAGAUUAUUGCAAUUAUUAGUCUUGAACGAGGAAUUCCUAGUAAGCACAAGUCAUCAGCUUGUGUUGAUUACGUCCCUGCCCUUUGUACACACCGCCCGUCGCUCCUACCGAUUGAAUGUUCCGGUGAGCUCUUCGGACUGCGCGGUCUGCAGUUUCUGCGUUCCGUGCGGAAAGUUGCGCAAACCUUAACAUUUAGAGGAAGGAGAAGUCGUAACA
This 324-nucleotide ribosomal RNA is filed under the name uncultured eukaryote. RNAcentral's name for it is "partial 18S ribosomal RNA". It matches the Rfam family "Eukaryotic small subunit ribosomal RNA", at positions 1470 to 1796 of the family's 1831-position model. The record is from RNAcentral.